This 253-nucleotide ribosomal RNA is filed under the name uncultured bacterium. RNAcentral describes it as "partial 16S ribosomal RNA". It matches the Rfam family "Bacterial small subunit ribosomal RNA", at positions 524 to 776 of the family's 1533-position model. The record is from RNAcentral.
CACGUAGGCACCAAGCGUUGUCCGGAUUUAUUGGGCGUAAAGAGCGUGUAGGCGGCCGUACAGGUCAGCUGUGAAAACUCGAGGCUCAACCUCGAGACGUCGGUUGAAACCGUACGGCUAGAGUCCGGAAGAGGAGAGUGGAAUUGCCGGUGUAGUGGUGAAAUGCGUAGAGAUCGGCAGGAACACCCAGGGAGAAAUCAGUGGACUGGCACGGUGCUGACGCUCAGGUGCGAAAGCGUGGGGAGCGAACCGG